GAUGAAGAACGUAGCGAAAUGCGAUAAGUAAUGUGAAUUGCAGAAUUCAGUGAAUCAUCGAGUCUUUGAACGCACAUUGCGCCCCCUGGUAUUCCGGGGGGCAUGCCUGUCCGAGCGUCAUUGCUGCCCUCAAGCACGGCUUGUGUGUUGGGCCUCCGUCCUCCUCCCGGGGGACGGGCCCGAAAGGCAGCGGCGGCACCGCGUCCGGUCCUCGAGCGUAUGGGGCUUCGUCACCCGCUCUUGUAGGCCCGGCCGGCGCUUGCCGACACAUCAAUCUUUUUUCUAGGUUGACCUCGGAUCAGGUAGGGAUACCCGCUGAACUUAAGCAUAUCAAUAAGCGGAGGA
This 345-nucleotide unclassified non-coding RNA is filed under the name soil metagenome. Its description in RNAcentral is "partial contains 5.8S ribosomal RNA, internal transcribed spacer 2, and large subunit ribosomal RNA". The stretch from base 1 to 120 matches the Rfam family "5.8S ribosomal RNA", at positions 35 to 154 of the family's 154-position model. The record is from RNAcentral.